RNAcentral lists this long non-coding RNA (309 nucleotides) under Homo sapiens (human). RNAcentral's name for it is "HSALNT0303919". Lineage: Eukaryota; Metazoa; Chordata; Mammalia; Primates; Hominidae. The record is from RNAcentral.
CAGCUUGUGGCUCGUGUCCAUCUUGCAGGUGGCUCUUCCUCCACAUCACGACUGGGGUCUCGAAGAGGACGGGGGAUGCCUCCAAGUUGUGAGAAAAUCAAGCAUCUACAAGGAAAGGCCACAUGUCGGCAUUCCAGCCACAGCCUCAGCUGAGGUCAGAGCUAACAGCCAGCAUCAACCACUAACCACACAAGUGAAGGAGACUUCGAAGCUUCAAACUGCCCCAGCUAAUGCCAAGUGGAGCAGAGAUGAGUUGUCCCUGCUGAAAUUGCAGACUCAUGAGCAAAAUAAAUGUAGUUGUUUUAAGAC